This 145-nucleotide ribosomal RNA is filed under the name uncultured Chlorophyta. Its description in RNAcentral is "partial small subunit ribosomal RNA". It matches the Rfam family "Eukaryotic small subunit ribosomal RNA", at positions 1294 to 1460 of the family's 1831-position model. Lineage: Eukaryota; Viridiplantae; Chlorophyta. The record is from RNAcentral.
UUAGUUGGUGGAGUGAUCUGUCAGGUUGAUUCCGGUAACGAACGAGACCUCAGCCUACUAAAUAGUCACGUCGAGUACGCUCGAUGGCCGACUUCUUAGAGGGACUAUCGGCGUGUAGUCGAUGGAAGUUUGAGGCAAUAACAGG